GUGAGGAAUUUUCCGCAAUGGGCGAAAGCCUGACGGAGCAAUGCCGCGUGAAGGAUGAAGGCCUAUGGGUUGUAAACUUCUUUUCUCAGAAAAGAAUUAUGACGGUAUCUGAGGAAUAAGCAUCGGCUAACUCUGUGCCAGCAGCCGCGGUAAGACAGAGGAUGCAAGCGUUAUCCGGAAUGAUUGGGCGUAAAGCGUCUGUAGGUUGUUUAAAAAGUAUUCUGUCAAAGAUUAGGGCUUAACCCUAGAUAGGCAGAAUAAACUUUUAAGCUAGAGGUUGGUAGAGGCAGAGGGAAUUCCCGGUGGAGCGGUGAAAUGCGUAGAUAUCGGGAGGAACACCAAAGGCGAAGGCACUCUGCUGGGCCAAUACUAACACUGAGAGACGAAAGCGAGGGGAGCAAAUGGGAUUAGAAACCCGUGUAGUCC
This 426-nucleotide ribosomal RNA is filed under the name uncultured bacterium. Its description in RNAcentral is "bacterial SSU rRNA". It matches the Rfam family "Bacterial small subunit ribosomal RNA", at positions 354 to 796 of the family's 1533-position model. The record is from RNAcentral.